UAGUAAUUAGUUUAAAAUAAAACAAAUGAUUUCGACUCAUUAGAUUGUGAUACAUUUCACAAUUACUA
Molecule: transfer RNA, 68 nt
Filed under: Anourosorex squamipes (mole shrew)
Lineage: Eukaryota; Metazoa; Chordata; Mammalia; Eulipotyphla; Soricidae
Description: tRNA-Arg
Rfam family: tRNA
About the family: Transfer RNA (tRNA) molecules are approximately 80 nucleotides in length. Their secondary structure includes four short double-helical elements and three loops (D, anti-codon, and T loops).
Source: RNAcentral